UGGGGAAUAUUGGACAAUGGGCGAAAGCCUGAUCCAGCCAUGCCGCGUGUGUGAAGAAGGUCUUCGGAUUGUAAAGCACUUUAAGUUGGGAGGAAGGGCAGUAAGCGAAUACCUUGCUGUUUUGACGUUACCGACAGAAUAAGCACCGGCUAACUCUGUGCCAGCAGCCGCGGUAAUACAGAGGGUGCAAGCGUUAAUCGGAAUUACUGGGCGUAAAGCGCGCGUAGGUGGUUCGUUAAGUUGAAUGUGAAAGCCCCGGGCUCAACCUGGGAACUGCAUCCAAAACUGGCGAGCUAGAGUAGGGCAGAGGGUGGUGGGAUUUCCUGUGUAGCGGUGAAAUGCGUAGAUAUAGGAAGGAACACCAGUGGCGAAGGCGACCACCUGGGCUCAUACUGACACUGAGGUGCGAAAGCGUGGGGAGCAAACAGG
RNAcentral lists this ribosomal RNA (429 nucleotides) under Pseudomonadota bacterium. Its description in RNAcentral is "Proteobacteria bacterium partial 16S ribosomal RNA". It matches the Rfam family "Bacterial small subunit ribosomal RNA", at positions 355 to 776 of the family's 1533-position model. The record is from RNAcentral. Lineage: Bacteria; Pseudomonadati; Pseudomonadota.